Molecule: long non-coding RNA, 221 nt
Filed under: Homo sapiens (human)
Lineage: Eukaryota; Metazoa; Chordata; Mammalia; Primates; Hominidae
Description: HSALNT0409338
Source: RNAcentral
AGGCAUUUUGACAUAUCUCUGCACUGUUAACCGAGGUGAUGUAACUCUUGUCUAGGCUGUGCCCACAGGGGGAUUGAGACAUAUCUCUGCCCUGAUCCCGAGGUGAUCCAAUUCUUGCCUGGUCUCUGCCUACUGGGGACAUUGUGACAUAUCUCUGCAAUGAUCUCCCAGGUGCUGUAACUUUAGUUUAGGCUCCGUCUACAUGGCAUUGUCACAUAGCA